This 2018-nucleotide ribosomal RNA is filed under the name human gut metagenome. RNAcentral's name for it is "bacterial LSU rRNA". It matches the Rfam family "Bacterial large subunit ribosomal RNA", at positions 451 to 2471 of the family's 2925-position model. The record is from RNAcentral.
GACCAUCCUCCAAGGCUAAAUACUCGUGAUCGACCGAUAGCGUACUAGUACUGUGAAGGAAAGGUUAAAAGAACCCCGGGAGGGGAGUGAAAUAGAUUCUGAAACCGCAUGCAUACAAACAGUAGGAGCCCUUCGGGGUGACUGCGUACCUUUUGCAUAAUGGGUCAGCGACUUAUGUUAUGUGGCAAGCCUAACCGACUAGGGGAGGCGCAGCGAAAGCGAGUCCGAACAGGGCGAUUCAGUCGCAUGGCAUAGACCCGAAACCAGAUGAGCUAACCAUGGCCAGGCUGAAGGUGUGGUAACACACACUGGAGGGCCGAACCUACUGGUGUUGCAAAACCAGAGGAUGAGCUGUGGUUAGGGGUGAAAGGCUUAACAAAUCUGGAGAUAGCUGGUUCUCCCCGAAAACUAUUGAGGUAGUGCCUUGUAUAUGAGCUUCUGGGGGUAGAGCACUGUUAUAGCUAGGGGGACAUGGCGUCUUACCAAACUAUGGCAAACUCCGAAUACCAGAAAGCUUCGUACAGGAGACAGAGCACCGGGUGCUAACGUCCGGACUCAAAAGGGAAUCAACCCAGACCGCCAGCUAAGGUCCCUAAUAUCAGCUAAGUGGAAAACGAAGUGGAAAGGCUAAAACAGUCAGGAAGUUGGCUUAGAAGCAGCCAUCCUUCAAAGAAAGCGUAAUAGCUCACUGAUCGAGUCCUUCCGCGCGGAAGAUGUAACGGGGCUAAGUUGAUAACCGAAGCUGCGGAUUCAUACUUUUAGUGUGAGUGGUAGGGGAGCGUUCUGUAAGCCUGCGAAGGUGGAUCGUAAGGUCUGCUGGAGGUAUCAGAAGUGCGAAUGCUGACAUGAGUAACGAUAAAGCGGGUGAAAAGCCCGCUCGCCGCAAACCCAAGGUUUCCUGCUCUACGUUAAUCGGAGCAGGGUGAGUCGGUUCCUAAGGCCAGGCUGAGAAGCGUAGCUGAUGGAAAUCAGGUUAAUAUUCCUGAACCGGCGUUGAAUGCGAUGGGGUGACGGAGCAGCCAGAGUGGACCGGGUGUUGGAUGUCCCGGCUUCCGAGCGAUGGGUGCCUGCAGGCAAAUCCGCAGGCGUAUACCCAGGACGAAGGAUCGGGUCUUCUUUUGAAGACGAAGCCACUGGAAGCGCUUCCAGGAAAAACCUCUAAGCUUCAGUUCAACGGCGACCGUACCGUAAACCGACACAGGUGGGUGAGCUGAAUAUGCUCAGGCGCUUGAGAGAACUCGGGAGAAGGAACUCGGCAAAUUGACACCGUAACUUCGGAAGAAGGUGUGCCUUUGUAGCUUGAUGGGAGAGAAACCCAAAGGGCGAAGAGGUCUCAGAGAAUCGGUGGCUGUAACUGUUUACUAAAAACACAGCGCUCUGCAAAGAUGAAAGUCGACGUAUAGGGCGUGAUGCCUGCCCGGUGCUGGAAGAUUAAUUGAUGGGGUGCAAGCUCCUGAUCGAAGUCCCAGUAAACGGCGGCCGUAACUAUAACGGUCCUAAGGUAGCGAAAUUCCUUGUCGGGCAAGUUCCGACCUGCACGAAUGGCAUAAUAAUGGCCACACUGUCUCCUCCCGAGACUCAGUGAAAUUGAAAUGUUUGUGAUGAUGCAAUCUCCCCGCGGCUAGACGGAAAGACCCCAUGAACCUUAACUGUAGCUUUGCAUUGGACUUUGAACCGAUCUGUGUAGGAUAGGCGGGAGGCUUUGAAGAAUGGACGCCAGUUCAUUCGGAGCCGUCGUUGAAAUACCGCCCUGAUUUGUUUGAGGUUCUAACCUGGGCCAGUAAUCCUGGCUGGGGACCGUGCAUGGUGGGCAGUUUGACUGGGGCGGUCUCCUCCUAAAGGGUAACGGAGGAGUGCGAAGGUACGCUAAUCACGGUCGGAAAUCGUGAGGAUACUGCAAUGGGAAAAGCGUGCCUGACUGCGAGACAGACAAGUCGAGCAGAUGCGAAAGCAGGUCAUAGUGAUCCGGUGGCUUCUGCAUGGAAGGGCCAUCGCUCAACGGAUAAAAGGUACUCUGG